CCUGCGUAUACCUGAUAAGUAUCCAUAUUCUACCUGUUAAAGCCCCCUAAUUAACUCCUGCCUGGUGUUUGAUGACUGGAACAGAGGCUGCAGAAUACUGGGAUCACUGUAUUCAGUCUGAGGGGACCAUGCACCCAUCCCCAAUAAAUUAACACAGAAUCUCCUAGAUGGAGAGGGGAGAGGACUAGCCGGGAAAAGGUAGAGGACUUGGGCCAGAAUGGCUAACUCAGAGAUAACAGACACUCACUGCACACACAUGCUUGAAAAUUCUGUGCCUUAUAUAAACCAGGCCCUGGGCUUAUGUAUCUGAUUCUGGAGAGUAACUGGGGACAUCAAUAGAUCAUACUGAGCUUUAAUACUGUUUUUGUGUGUUGUGUUUAUGGUGAGGUUGUGUUUCAUAUAUGGAAGGUGACUGUGUAUGACAAUGACUAUCUUCAUGGAGUGACUGGGUGAUAAGUGGCAGGAUGAGUGGGAUAAGUGUGACAAGGUGAGAGGUGUGUGACAUGGUUUGUGGGUAGGUGUGAUAGGGUGUAUGUGAGUAAGUGUGACAAGAUUUGAGGGAGUGAGUGUGAAAGGAUGAGGUUGUGAGUGUGACGGGGUGUGUGUAGUGACUGCGGAAGGGUAGUGAGUGUGACAAGGUUAGAAGGGUCAGUGUGAGUUAGGGAGUGUGUGAGUGUGACAGGGUGAGGGGAAUGUAGUGGGUUGAGAGUUGGUGAAUGGCUAUGGCAGGGCUAAGAAGUUAAGUUUCAGGGUCUGAUCCCCCAUCCUAAUUUUGUUGAGACCGGGGAACUGUCCACAGCUGAGAAUCUUCACAGUAACAAAGUGCUAAGUGUUACAGUACAGCAGAAACAGGAACUUCUGGAAUGGGAUUAAGUUAGAAAACAGCAGUUGAUUUUAUAAAUUACGUUAUUUGACUAUUAUUGUAAGAAUAUAUUUACUGUAAGGGCAGCUGAGACAUAUAUGACUCGGUAUUCUCACAACACUCCAGACUAUCAG
This is a non-coding RNA of Pelobates cultripes (western spadefoot toad), 996 nucleotides long. NCBI's taxonomy places the organism in Eukaryota, Metazoa, Chordata, Amphibia, Anura, Pelobatidae. The record is from the annotation of a GenBank genome assembly.